RNAcentral lists this ribosomal RNA (720 nucleotides) under bacterium 202_oclvp284. RNAcentral's name for it is "bacterial SSU rRNA". It matches the Rfam family "Bacterial small subunit ribosomal RNA", at positions 49 to 747 of the family's 1533-position model. The record is from RNAcentral. RNAcentral also lists the same sequence under 1 other name.
CUAUACAUGCAGUCGAGCGGAGUUUGAAUGGAAGCUUGCUUCCAUUCAUGCUUAGCGGCGGNACGGGUGAGUAACACGUAGGCAACCUGCCCUCAAGACUGGGAUAACUACCGGAAACGGUAGCUAAUACCGGAUAAUUUCUUUGUUCUCCUGAAGAGAGAAUGAAAGGCGGAGCAAUCUGCCNCUUGGGGAUGGGCCUGCGGCGCAUUAGCUAGUUGGUGGGGUAACGGCCCACCAAGGCGACGAUGCGUAGCCGACCUGAGAGGGUGAACGGCCACACUGGGACUGAGACACGGCCCAGACUCCUACGGGAGGCAGCAGUAGGGAAUCUUCCGCAAUGGGCGAAAGCCUGACGGAGCAACGCCGCGUGAGUGAUGAAGGUUUUCGGAUCGUAAAGCUCUGUUGCCAGGGAAGAACGUCCGGUAGAGUAACUGCUACCGGAGUGACGGUACCUGAGAAGAAAGCCCCGGCUAACUACGUGCCAGCAGCCGCGGUAAUACGUAGGGGGCAAGCGUUGUCCGGAAUUAUUGGGCGUAAAGCGCGCGCAGGCGGUCAUUUAAGUCUGGUGUUUAAACCUUGGGCUCAACCUGGGGUCGCACUGGAAACUGGGUGACUUGAGUACAGAAGAGGAAAGUGGAAUUCCACGUGUAGCGGUGAAAUGCGUAGAUAUGUGGAGGAACACCAGUGGCGAAGGCGACUUUCUGGGCUGUAACUGACGCU